AUUGAACGCUGGCGGCAUGCUUUACACAUGCAAGUCGAACGGUAACAGGCCGCAAGGUGCUGACGAGUGGCGAACGGGUGCGUAAUGCAUCGGAACGUGCCCAGUCGUGGGGGAUAACUACUCGAAAGAGUAGCUAAUACCGCAUACGAUCUGUGGAUGAAAGCGGGGGACCGUAAGGCCUCGCGCGAUUGGAGCGGCCGAUGUCAGAUUAGGUAGUUGGUGGGGUAAAGGCUCACCAAGCCAACGAUCUGUAGCUGGUCUGAGAGGACGACCAGCCACACUGGGACUGAGACACGGCCCAGACUCCUACGGGAGGCAGCAGUGGGGAAUUUUGGACAAUGGGCGCAAGCCUGAUCCAGCAAUGCCGCGUGCAGGAAGAAGGCCUUCGGGUUGUAAACUGCUUUUGUACGGAACGAAACGGCUCUGGUUAAUACCCGGGGCUAAUGACGGUACCGUAAGAAUAAGCACUGGCUAACUACGUG
This 482-nucleotide ribosomal RNA is filed under the name uncultured bacterium. RNAcentral's name for it is "partial 16S ribosomal RNA". It matches the Rfam family "Bacterial small subunit ribosomal RNA", at positions 30 to 507 of the family's 1533-position model. The record is from RNAcentral.